Molecule: ribosomal RNA, 513 nt
Filed under: uncultured bacterium
Lineage: Bacteria
Description: partial 16S ribosomal RNA
Rfam family: Bacterial small subunit ribosomal RNA
Source: RNAcentral
GACGAACGCUGGCGGCAUGCCUAAUACAUGCAAGUCGAGCGAACAGAUGAAGUGCUUGCACUUCUGACGUUAGCGGCGAACGGGUGAGUAACACGUAAGGAAUCUACCUAUAAGCGGGGGAUAACAUUCGGAAACGGGUGCUAAUACCGCAUAAUAUCUUCUUCCGCAUGGAAGAAGAUUGAAAGACGGCUCUGCUGUCACUUAUAGAUGACCUUGCGGUGCACUAGUUAGUUGGUGGGGUAAUGGCCUACCAAGACGAUGAUGCAUAGCCGACCGGAGAGGGUGAUCGGCCACAUUGGGACUGAGACACGGCCCAAACUCGUACGGGAGGCAGCAGUAGGGAAUCUUCCGCAAGGGGCGAAAGCCUGACGGAGCAAUGCCGCGUGAGUGAAGAAGGCCUUCGGGUCGUAAAACUCUGUUAUAAGAGAAGAACAAAUUGUAGAGUAACUGCUACAGUCUUGACGGUAUCUUAUCAGAAAGCCACGGCUAACUACGUGCCAGCCGCCGCAGUAA